Molecule: long non-coding RNA, 862 nt
Organism: Sarcophilus harrisii (Tasmanian devil)
Lineage: Eukaryota; Metazoa; Chordata; Mammalia; Dasyuromorphia; Dasyuridae
Exons: 3
Source: RefSeq, a predicted model, not a curated record
CUCCAGCUCAUUUUACCGAGGAGCAAACAGAGAAAGGAUCACUGAACUGCAGCAUGUUAGCAUUGAAGAGAUAUUAGAGAACAUCCCUAAGCCAAAAAUGUCAACAAAAUAAUAGACCGUGUUAAGAGAAGAAGGAUUUCCUCAAAAGGAGGUGAACAUGACAGUCCUUUACUCUGGUCAGACCACAUGUGAAGUCUUGGGUUCGGUUCUGGGUGCCAUAUUUCAGGAGGGAUGCUGCCAGACUGUUGAAAUAUCCAGAGGAGGAGAUCAACCAAGAGGGCCCACCAGAACAAAUUGAAUUACUUUUCCACAUGACAGCCCUUCACAUACUUGAUGACAACUAUUAUGCCCCAGCCUGAGUCUUCUCUUCUCCAGAUGAAGAAUCUCCAGUUACUUUGUGGAAUGUGAGAAUAUUUCUAUAAUCUCCUCAUGGUCCCAAUUUGUGAUUGUGAAAAGUUAGAUAGCUCAGUUUACUUAGCAUGACCUCCAGAAAAAAUGAUUGCUGACCUCUUCAUCUACCUUUAUUCCCUCUCAUCUACUCUCUUUGGAGACACCAGGUUUACUUUCCUCCCUUUUUAAAAAUACAUGACAUGGAGUAUUGCUUGUCCUAUGGGAGAGGGUCCCAUUCUACUCAUUUUAAACCAGGCUGGACAGAGUGGACCAAAAAAUUCAGAAAUGGCCAUUUUGGCCCAGAAAUACCUAGCACUAUCCUUGGGAUGACUCUUUUUAUCUCCCUGGUCUCAGUUUCUUCCUAUGUACAACUAGAGGACUGGACUAAGUGCUAUUCAAAAAUUCCUUGCUCCCAAAUUUUAUGUUAUUAGAAUAUUAAGAAAAAAACUUGACUUUUUUUGAGGGGACACAU